Small nuclear RNA from Macaca mulatta (Rhesus monkey), 174 nucleotides. Its record names the gene U2. It matches the Rfam family "U2 spliceosomal RNA". From Rfam's summary of the family: U2 is a small nuclear RNA (snRNA) component of the spliceosome (involved in pre-mRNA splicing). Complementary binding between U2 snRNA (in an area lying towards the 5' end but 3' to hairpin I) and the branchpoint sequence (BPS) of the intron results the bulging out of an unpaired adenosine, on the BPS, which initiates a nucleophilic attack at the intronic 5' splice site, thus starting the first of two transesterification reactions that mediate splicing. Lineage: Eukaryota; Metazoa; Chordata; Mammalia; Primates; Cercopithecidae. The record is from Ensembl.
AUCGCUUCAUGGCCUUUUUGCUAAGAUCUAGUGCAGUAUCUGUUCUUAUUAGUUUAAGUUUAAAAAAAACAUGGAGGCAUCCAUGCACAGUCAACCUUUAGAAAAAAUAUUUCCUGAUACUAAAGUAUUGGGAGAACUACCUCUUAAUUUUUAUAAAUUUGGGUCAAAAUCCAU